This 170-nucleotide ribosomal RNA is filed under the name epsilon proteobacterium PO-1-6. RNAcentral describes it as "partial 16S rRNA". It matches the Rfam family "Bacterial small subunit ribosomal RNA", at positions 338 to 525 of the family's 1533-position model. Lineage: Bacteria; Pseudomonadati; Campylobacterota. RNAcentral also lists the same sequence under 1 other name. The record is from RNAcentral.
CCUACGGGAGGCAGCAGUGGGGAAUAUUGCACAAUGGAGGAAACUCUGAUGCAGCAACGCCGCGUGGAGGAUGACACUUUUCGGAGCGUAAACUCCUUUUAUAUAGGAAGAUAAUGACGGUACUAUAUGAAUAAGCACCGGCUAACUCCGUGCCAGCAGCCGCGGUAAUA